This 452-nucleotide ribosomal RNA is filed under the name uncultured bacterium. RNAcentral describes it as "bacterial SSU rRNA". It matches the Rfam family "Bacterial small subunit ribosomal RNA", at positions 354 to 796 of the family's 1533-position model. The record is from RNAcentral.
GUGGGGAAUAUUGCGCAAUGGGCGAAAGCCUGACGCAGCGACGCCGCGUGGGUGAUGAAGGUCUUCGGAUCGUAAAGCCCUGUUGGAGAGGGAAGAAUAACUGGUGGGCUAAUAUCCCAUCGGCCUGACGGUACCUCUUCAGAAAGCACCGGCUAACUCCGUGCCAGCAGCCGCGGUAAUACGGAGGGUGCUAACGUUGUUCGGAAUCACUGGGCGUAAAGCGCGUGUAGGCGGCGUUGCAAGUCAGGUGUGAAAUCCCUUGGCUCAACUGAGGAAGUGCACUUGAAACUGCUUCGCUAGAGUACGGGAGAGGGUAGUAGAAUUCCCGGUGUAGAGGUGAAAUUCGUAGAUAUCGGGAGGAAUACCGGUGGCGAAGGCGGCUACCUGGACCGAUACUGACGCUGAGACGCGAAAGCGUGGGGAGCAAACAGGAUUAGAAACCCCAGUAGUCC